AAGGAUUUAAGUUAGGUAAACUAUUAACCUUCAAAGUUAAAAUCAGAAUCGAUCAUUCUAAGCCUUA
Molecule: transfer RNA, 67 nt
Filed under: Batocera lineolata
Lineage: Eukaryota; Metazoa; Arthropoda; Insecta; Coleoptera; Cerambycidae
Also listed under: 1 other name
Description: tRNA-Trp
Source: RNAcentral